CUCUCAGGACGAACGCUGGGCGGCGUGCCUAAUACAUGCAAGUCGAGCGGAACCUUUGGAGCUUGCUCCAUUGGUUUAGCGGCGGACGGGUGAGUAACACGUGGGCAACCUGCCCUGCAGAUCGGGAUAACUCCGGGAAACCGGUGCUAAUACCGAAUAGUUUGCGGCCUCUCAUGAGGCUGCACGGAAAGACGGUUUCGGCUGUCACUGCAGGAUGGGCCCGCGGCGCAUUAGCUAGUUGGUGAGGUAACGGCUCACCAAGGCCACGAUGCGUAGCCGACCUGAGAGGGUGAUCGGCCACACUGGGACUGAGACACGGCCCAGACUCCUACGGGAGGCAGCAGUAGGGAAUCUUCCGCAAUGGACGAAAGUCUGACGGAGCAACGCCGCGUGAGUGAAGAAGGUUUUCGGAUCGUAAAACUCUGUUGUGAGGGAAGAACAAGUACCAACUAACUACUGUACCUUGACGGACCUCAC
Molecule: ribosomal RNA, 477 nt
Filed under: Planococcus maritimus
Lineage: Bacteria; Bacillati; Bacillota; Bacilli; Caryophanales; Caryophanaceae
Description: bacterial SSU rRNA
Rfam family: Bacterial small subunit ribosomal RNA
Source: RNAcentral